GACGAACGCUGGCGGCGUGCUUAACACAUGCAAGUCGAACGGAAAGGCCCUGCUUUUGUGGGGUGCUCGAGUGGCGAACGGGUGAGUAACACGUGAGUAACCUGCCCUUGACUUUGGGAUAACUUCAGGAAACUGGGGCUAAUACCGGAUAGGAGCUCCUGCUGCAUGGUGGUGGUUGGAAAGUUUCGGCGGUUGGGGAUGGACUCGCGGCUUAUCAGCUUGUUGGUGGGGUAGUGGCUUACCAAGGCUUUGACGGGUAGCCGGCCUGAGAGGGUGACCGGCCACAUUGGGACUGAGAUACGGCCCAGACUCCUACGGGAGGCAGCAGUGGGGAAUAUUGCACAAUGGGCGGAAGCCUGAUGCAGCAACGCCGCGUGCGGGAUGACGGCCUUCGGGUUGUAAACCGCUUUCGCCUGUGACGAAGCGUGAGUGACGGUAAUGGGUAAAGAAGCACCGGCUAACUACGUG
Molecule: ribosomal RNA, 468 nt
Filed under: uncultured bacterium
Lineage: Bacteria
Description: partial 16S ribosomal RNA
Rfam family: Bacterial small subunit ribosomal RNA
Source: RNAcentral